UGGAGAUGGGAUGUCCUCGGAGUCUGCUCAGAUGGGAGGUGCACGAUAGUUGAAGGCCCCCUGGGUAAAGACAGGACGAAGUGUGGGGAGAAGCUAGUCCCAGCUGCAAGGCAGACACCUGGCUGGGGUGUGUUUCAUCUCUUAUGCCACUGCACUCCAGCCUGGGUGACAGAGCGAGACUCCGUCACACACACACACACACACACAAGACAGGGUCUUGCUCUGUCGUCCAGGCUGGAGUACAGUGGCAUGAUCAUAGCUUACUGCAGCCUCCAGCUCUCGGGCUCAAGCCAUCUUCAGCCUCCCAAGUAGCUGGGACUACAGGUGCAUGCCACAUUUUAAAUUGUGUUAGAGUUGGGGUGCCACUAGGUUGCUCAGGCUGCAGACACUUUUAAAUGAACUCAUCUGAUCCUGCAACAGCCUUGUGAAGUGGGUCCUGUUAAUUCCUCUUUGACAGGUGAGGAAACUGAAGCCCAGAGAGGUUAGGACACUGGCCCAAAGUCACACAACCUGAGAGCCACUGGAACCAGAACCUAGGAGCUGUGUUUCUGUUUUCGUGCAGACAGAUGCAUUUUCCUUUAAUACUACGCUUUUCAGAUGCAGAAGGGCAGGAUCAGGGAGGUGGAGCGACUUGUCCAAGGUCUGGCAGUGAGUUAGUGGCCCUCCAAGCCUAUGUGUCUGUGCGAGGCUACAGGCUUUAGUUGAGAAGGGGCAAAAACAGCGGCCUUGAAGGAAGCCUGCCUGGUGUCUAUGUCAGUGAAGAUGUGGGCUGGUGGGCUGCGUGGUGGAGGCCUGUGGCUAGAGAUAGACUGGGGUGAGUCAAGUAUGAACAUUUAGAGUAUGAACUAGAAAUAAGACAGCGCUGGCCAGGCACGGUGGCUCACGCCUGUAAUCUUAGCACUUUGGGAGGCCGAGGUGGGCAGAUUGCCUGAGUUCAGGAGUUUGAUACCAGCCUGGGCAGCAUGGUGAAACCCCGUCUCUACUAAAAUACAAAAAAUUAGCCGGGCGUGGCAGCAUGCGCCUGUAAUCCCAGCUACUCCGGAGGCUGAGGCAGAAGAAUCGCUUGAACCCGGGAGGCAGAGGUUGCAGUGAGCUGAGAUUGUGCCACUGCACUCCAGCCUGGACAACCGAGCGAGACUCCAUCUCAGAAAAAAUCAAAAUAAAUAAUAAAAGAAAUAGCUGUAACCCUGCCCCCUUGUGGCAUCCCCAGCCAGGUUGGACUUCCCCCAUGUCUGCAACAGGCUGGGGCAUCCUCCGGAAGUGAGUGGCGGGAGGGAGGCCAGGGCUGGACCAGCAGAGUUGGGGGAGGGGAUGGGGGUGCAGGGCUGGGGACACAGGAAGUGGCUGCAGGAAAAGAGGGGCAGUCUCCAGACUCAGGGUCUCAGGACCUUUGGGUUUCCUGCCUUGUCCCCCUGCAACUCUGGAGGAGCAAGAGGCCUGGCUGGGGUUUCUCAGUUCUUGGCAGCCCACGAGUCCCCUGGGGUGGCUCAGGGAUUGGGGACUUCCCUGGAGGAAAGGACCAUGGGGUGAGCAUCUCAACUUUUGCAUUUGACUCAGAUCUUUGUCUCUUAUUUUGUAAAACCGCAGUGUAUGUGUGAUAUGUGUGCACUGACUACAAAAAAAAAAAAAAAAAAAAAGAAAAAA
Molecule: long non-coding RNA, 1644 nt
Filed under: Macaca fascicularis (crab-eating macaque)
Lineage: Eukaryota; Metazoa; Chordata; Mammalia; Primates; Cercopithecidae
Description: lncRNA (ENSMFAG00000054828.1)
Source: RNAcentral